UGCCUAAGAAUGCCUCUUCUUGGGGA
Molecule: non-coding RNA, 26 nt
Filed under: Homo sapiens (human)
Lineage: Eukaryota; Metazoa; Chordata; Mammalia; Primates; Hominidae
Source: RNAcentral